GGUGGCUUAGUGGUGGAGUGCUUGCCUCGCAUGCAUGAAGCCUUGGGUUCGAUUCCCCAGUACCA
Non-coding RNA from Dipodomys ordii (Ord's kangaroo rat), 65 nucleotides. Lineage: Eukaryota; Metazoa; Chordata; Mammalia; Rodentia; Heteromyidae. The record is from Rfam.